This 468-nucleotide ribosomal RNA is filed under the name uncultured bacterium. Its description in RNAcentral is "partial 16S ribosomal RNA". It matches the Rfam family "Bacterial small subunit ribosomal RNA", at positions 28 to 507 of the family's 1533-position model. The record is from RNAcentral.
GACGAACGCUGGCGGCGUGCUUAACACAUGCAAGUCGAACGGAAAGGCCCUGCUUUUGUGGGGUUCUCGAGUGGCGAACGGGUGAGUAACACGUGGGUAACCUGCCCUUGACUUUGGGAUAACUUCAGGAAACUGGGGCUAAUACCGGAUAGGAGCUCCUGCUGCAUGGUGGGGGUUGGAAAGUUUCGGCGGUUGGGGAUGGACUCGCGGCUUAUCAGCUUGUUGGUGGGGUAGUGGCUUACCAAGGCUUUGACGGGUAGCCGGCCUGAGAGGGUGACCGGCCACAUUGGGACUGAGAUACGGCCCAGACUCCUACGGGAGGCAGCAGGGGGGAAUAUUGCACAAUGGGCGGAAGCCUGAUGCAGCAACGCCGCGUGCGGGAUGACGGCCUUCGGGUUGUAAACCGCUUUCGCCUGUGACGAAGCGGGAGUGACGGUAAUGGGUAAAGAAGCACCGGCUAACUACGUG